AAGAGAACAAAGAACAGAGAACCCUGGGAACUACCAACCUGUCAGCCUUGCCUCUGUGCCUGGGAAGAUCAUGAAACAGAUACUCCUAGAAUCAGGAGGUGAUCCUAGGACAGGGAGGUGAUAUGGGACAGUCAGAGGAUCUUCACUAAGGGCAACCAGAUGAUCAACCAAAUGGCUUUCUAUGAU
Non-coding RNA from Sturnus vulgaris (Common starling), 186 nucleotides. The record is from RefSeq and is a predicted model, not a curated record. NCBI's taxonomy places the organism in Eukaryota, Metazoa, Chordata, Aves, Passeriformes, Sturnidae.